CCUACGGGAGGCAGCAGUGGGGAAUAUUGCACAAUGGGGGAAACCCUGAUGCAGCGACGCCGCGUGAGUGAAGAAGUAUUUCGGUAUGUAAAGCUCUAUCAGCAGGAACGAGACAAGACGGUACCUGACUAAGAAGCCCCGGCUAACUACGUGCCAACAGCCGCGGUCAUACGUAGGGGGCAAGCGUUAUCCGGAAGCACUGGGUGUAAAGGGAGCGUAGACGGCUGAGCAAGCCUGAAGUGAAAGGCGGGGGUCCAACCCCUGGACUGCUUUGGGAACUGUACGGCUGGAGUGCAGGAGAGGUAAGUGGAAUUCCUGGUGUAGCGGUGAAAUGCGUAGAUAUUAGGAGGAACACCAGUGGCGAAGGCGGCUUACUGGACUGUAACUGACGUUGAGGCUCGAAAGCGUGGGGAGCAAACAGGAUUAGAUACCCCAGUAGUC
This 441-nucleotide ribosomal RNA is filed under the name uncultured bacterium. RNAcentral's name for it is "partial 16S ribosomal RNA". It matches the Rfam family "Bacterial small subunit ribosomal RNA", at positions 338 to 795 of the family's 1533-position model. The record is from RNAcentral.